This is a long non-coding RNA of Panthera uncia (snow leopard), 622 nucleotides long. RefSeq lists it as uncharacterized. The record is from RefSeq and is a predicted model, not a curated record. The transcript is spliced from 3 exons. Lineage: Eukaryota; Metazoa; Chordata; Mammalia; Carnivora; Felidae.
AUAAGAUGUAACAAUAAACAUGGAACAGAGUGGCCCCAGGGAGAAAAUUGCAUUUUGAGCAGCUCUUACUGGACUCACUAAUGGUAUAUGAGGAGGCUACUCAAGAUGUCCAGUGGAGCCGUCCAUACCGUGGAGAGCUAAGUCUUCCUGCAAACAGCCAGCACCAACUUGCCAACUAUGUACUUAUGUAUGUGCCACACAUACAUGCUUUUCAAAGGCCAACCGUCUCUACAACUAUGAGAACACAUGGGAAUGAAGGAAAACACAGCCUAUCAAAGAAGGCAAGAAACACUGCCAAGAUUAUUUCCUUUUGUGUUGAUGACCUGUUUGAUUUUAAUGAAGCUAGUAGUAAAUGAAUAUAUGGCAAUAUAUGAAGAAAGAAUACAUAGAAGGAUAAGAUUAGAAAUCUUUUCUCUUUGCCCCCAGUAUCAGCAGUUUUAGAUAUACCCUCUGGUAUACAUUUCUAAGUGUGUAUGUAUGUAGGUGCAUAUGUGUGCAAGCAUGGUUUUCAUAAAUGAUAUCAAAAUACACACCUCGUUCCAUGGCUUAUUUUUUUACUUAACAUUUGAGCCCUUUCUAUGUAAGUACACAUAAAUCCACCCUACAAUUUUGAUAGCACCAC